Molecule: long non-coding RNA, 1346 nt
Organism: Chelonia mydas (Green sea turtle)
Lineage: Eukaryota; Metazoa; Chordata; Testudines; Cheloniidae
Exons: 3
Source: RefSeq, a predicted model, not a curated record
AGCAAUGAUCUCCUAAGACCUGGGAAUGGCUGUACCUGUAAGAGUCUAGGAAGAAGCAUGCUGGCACUCAAACGGAGCUGAUAGCCUGUCUGAUGAAAAAGAACAAAGCCCUGUCUCCUUGGCUAUUUAGGGACUGAUCUUCCGUGGAGCUAAACGUCCUGAAUUUGCACUGUGUCUAUGGGAGUUGAGGGUGCUUAGUAUCUGAUGCACAUAGAUAUGGCACACUAGGGCACAGAGAUGGAUUGAAACAGCUCUUGAGUUGUAAGUUUAAACAAGAUGGCCCAUUUUGCAGUGGAUUGUAUGCUAAACUCUUUGUGUCUCCAGUGAGCUGGGCUUGGAAAGAAAGAAAGGAAGGAAGUGUAGACACAGCCUUGCUAUGUGUAUGUAGCCCAGAGCCCAGCACAACAGUGUCCUGAUCUUUGUGGUGCCUAGAGGCCCCAACAACACUUACUGCACCUGCUCAGCAACAAAGAUGAUGAUGAAAUAUCUAAAAAAUAAGGAUGUUUGCUUUGCCAUUCUGCGACUGGGUAUAACAAAGCCCUUUGUGGCCCACUGCUGGAAGCCCCACAGUCCUACCACACCCUGCCCCAGCAAAGGAGCAGUGAAGGUGGGUCCUCCAAGCCUGCCUAGAGAGGCUGCAGGGAAGCAGCCAAUCAGAGCCCAUAAGGCUGAGAUAAAAGGAGCUGCAGGGCCUUAGCAGGUCUGUUCCUGGCUGGAAACAGAGGAGUGGGAAAGGGUGUGCUGCUCUGGCCACAGGAGCGCAACUGGCUGCAUUUGCUAAAGCUGGAAGAGAGAGGAUCUGAGAACUUGAACCCUAAGGUUAAGGGGGUGAAGAUAAAGAUGCCAGGUGGGAAGACACUCAGGGAAUUAAUGGAAGUGAACAGAACAUGGCUUCUGAGGGUACCUGGAUGGGCCUGGGUUCCUCCACAGAAGUGGUCUAAGCCCAGAGAAGGGAACAAGGCUUGUUUAAAAGCCAGAGUGAAGGGCUGAAUUUAAAGAGCCCAGAGGCAGGGCUGAAAAACCCUGGUAAAGGCUGAGAGACGGUUUGUUGAACUCUUUGCUACCAGGGUUGCCAGGUGUCCAGUUUUCGACCGGAACUCCCACUCGAAAAGGGACCCUGGCGGCUCCAGUCAGCACCACUGACUGGGCAGUUAAAAGUCUUGUCAGAGGUACAGUGGGGCUAAGGCAGGCUCCCUGCCUGCUCUGGCUCUGGCUCUGUACGAAUCCUGGAAGCAGCCAUAAUGUCCGGCUCCCAGGUGCAGGGGCCAGGGAGGCUCUGCACGCUGCCCCUGCCUUGUAUGCUGGCUCCACAGCUCCCAUUGGCUGGGAGCUGCAGUCAGUGGGAG